RNAcentral lists this ribosomal RNA (423 nucleotides) under uncultured bacterium. RNAcentral describes it as "bacterial SSU rRNA". It matches the Rfam family "Bacterial small subunit ribosomal RNA", at positions 355 to 775 of the family's 1533-position model. The record is from RNAcentral.
UGAGGAAUAUUGGUCAAUGGGCGGCAGCCUGAACCAGCCAUCCCGCGUGAAGGAAGAAUGCGCUAUGCGUUGUAAACUUCUUUUUCAGGGGGAUAAAAUUCUGUAUGUAUACAGGACUGAAGGUACCCUGAGAAUAAGCAUCGGCUAACUCCGUGCCAGCAGCCGCGGUAAUACGGAGGAUGCGAGCGUUAUCCGGAUUUAUUGGGUGUAAAGGGUGCGUAGGCGGAAUAAUAAGUCAGUGGUGAAACCCUGCAGCUUAACUGUAGACUUGCCAUUGAUACUGUUUUUCUUGAGUAUGGUCAAGGCAGGCGGAAUGUGUAAUGUAGCGGUGAAAUGCUUAGAUAUUACACAGAACACCGAUAGCGAAGGCAGCUUGCUGGGCCGUUACUGACGCUGAUGCACGAAAGCGUGGGGAUCAAACAG